GACGUAGGGCGCAAGCGUUGUCCGGAAUUAUUGGGCGUAAAGAGCUCGUAGGCGGUUUGUCGCGUCUGCUGUGAAAACUCGGGGCUUAACUCCGGGCCUGCAGUGGGUACGGGCAGACUAGAGUGCGGUAGGGGAGACUGGAAUUCCUGGUGUAGCGGUGAAAUGCGUAGAUAUCCGGAGGAAGACCAGUGGCGAAGGCGGGUCUCUGGACAGUUCCUGACACUGAGGCACGAAGGCCAGGGGGGCAAACGGG
RNAcentral lists this ribosomal RNA (253 nucleotides) under uncultured bacterium. RNAcentral describes it as "partial 16S ribosomal RNA". It matches the Rfam family "Bacterial small subunit ribosomal RNA", at positions 524 to 776 of the family's 1533-position model. The record is from RNAcentral.